CUUCUAAAAUUGGAUGGACUAAGGUUUAAAAAACAUUACCCAUGGCAGUCACUUAUCUUUCUAGAGAAGCAUGUUUUUUAAAAAUGAAUCUACACACCUGACCGUUCUUUUUCUUGAAUAACUCAUUUUGUACACCGCUAUCUGAAAGGUGAAUCUAAACAUUCACUCUUUUUCCUUGUAAGGGAAUAAGGUAAGUUAAGGUGCAGACUAUGGAGAUGAAGAAAUGUGCCUCAUUACGAAUUAUGGAUUCCCUAUCGUGAAAUUUGGAAAAAAUAGAAUUUAGGAG
This 286-nucleotide ribosomal RNA is filed under the name Megapeostus asymmetricus. RNAcentral describes it as "partial 12S ribosomal RNA". Lineage: Eukaryota; Metazoa; Arthropoda; Insecta; Psocodea; Heptapsogasteridae. The record is from RNAcentral.